AUUGCUGUGUGAGGAGUGCUG
Molecule: microRNA, 21 nt
Filed under: Gallus gallus (chicken)
Lineage: Eukaryota; Metazoa; Chordata; Aves; Galliformes; Phasianidae
Description: gga-miR-6663-5p
Source: miRBase by way of RNAcentral